RNAcentral lists this ribosomal RNA (886 nucleotides) under uncultured fungus. RNAcentral's name for it is "eukaryotic LSU rRNA". The stretch from base 628 to 886 matches the Rfam family "Eukaryotic large subunit ribosomal RNA", at positions 1 to 253 of the family's 3401-position model. The record is from RNAcentral. Lineage: Eukaryota; Fungi.
GGAAGGAUCAUUAUUGAAUGAACUUGGUGUGGUUGUUGCUGGCCCUCUCGGGGGCAUGUGCACACCCACCAUCCUCAUCUCUCCACCUGUGCACCUCUUGUAGACCUGGAUAGACUUUCCGAGGCAACUCGGUCGGGAAGAUUGCUGCGCUCUGUGAGCCAGCUUUCUUUGCAUGUCCAGGCCUAUGUUUUUCAUAUACCCCUAUAGAAUGUAACAGAAUGUAUCAUUGGGCCUUGUGCCUAUAAACCUUAUACAACUUUCAGCAACGGAUCUCUUGGCUCUCGCAUCGAUGAAGAACGCAGCGAAAUGCGAUAAGUAAUGUGAAUUGCAGAAUUCAGUGAAUCAUCGAAUCUUUGAACGCACCUUGCGCUCCUUGGUAUUCCGAGGAGCAUGCCUGUUUGAGUGUCAUUAAACUCUCAACCUUAUUAGCUUUUGUUGAUAAUGGAUUGGAUGUGGGGGUUUCUUUGCUGGCUUCUUCACAGAGAUCAGCUCCCCUUAAAUGCAUUAGCUGGUGCCCCGCGUGGACCAUCUAUUGGUGUGAUAAUUAUCUACGCCGUGGAUGUCUGCAAUCAUAUGGGUUUUGCACUGCUUCUAACUGUCUGUUCAUUCGGACAAUACAUGACAAUUUGACCUCAAAUCAGGUAGGACUACCCGCUGAACUUAAGCAUAUCAAUAAGCGGAGGAAAAGAAACUAACAAGGAUUCCCCUAGUAACUGCGAGUGAAGCGGGAAAAGCUCAAAUUUAAAAUCUGGCGGUCUCCGGCCGUCCGAGUUGUAAUCUAGAGAAGUGUUAUCCGCGCUGGACCGUGUACAAGUCUCCUGGAAUGGAGCGUCAUAGAGGGUGAGAAUCCCGUCUUUGACACGGACUGCCAGGGCUUUGUGAUGCG